GCGCGGGUGGCGGAAUAGGUAGACGCGCUAGCUUGAGGUGCUAGUGCCCGAGAGGGCGUGGGGGUUCAAGUCCCCCCUCGCGCA
This 84-nucleotide transfer RNA is filed under the name Microbacterium sp. RNAcentral's name for it is "tRNA-Leu". It matches the Rfam family "tRNA". From Rfam's summary of the family: Transfer RNA (tRNA) molecules are approximately 80 nucleotides in length. Their secondary structure includes four short double-helical elements and three loops (D, anti-codon, and T loops). Lineage: Bacteria; Bacillati; Actinomycetota; Actinomycetes; Micrococcales; Microbacteriaceae. The record is from RNAcentral.